AACGAACGCUGGCGGCAUGCCUAACACAUGCAAGUCGAACGAGACCUUCGGGUCUGGUGGCUCAUGGGUGCGUAACGCGUGGGAACCUUCCCUUAUGUUCGGGAUAACUCCCCGAAAUGGGUGCUAAUGCCGGAUAAUUUCUUCUGACCAAAGAUAUAUCGCCUUUGGAUGGGCCCGCGUUGUAUGAGCCAGUUGGUAUGGUAAAAGCCUACCAAGGCUACGUUCGCUAGCUGGUCUGAGAGGAAGAUCAGCCACUCUGGGACUGAGCCACGGUCCAGACUACUACGCGAGGGAGCAGUGGCGAAUCUAGGACUAUGGGCUAAGUCAUGAUCCAGCACUGCUGCGUGAGUGCUGAAGUCCGUAGAGAUGUAAAGCUCUUUUAUCCGCGAUGAUACUGACAGUACCGGGAGAAUAAGCUCCGGCUAACUUCGUG
RNAcentral lists this ribosomal RNA (433 nucleotides) under uncultured bacterium. RNAcentral's name for it is "partial 16S ribosomal RNA". It matches the Rfam family "Bacterial small subunit ribosomal RNA", at positions 29 to 507 of the family's 1533-position model. The record is from RNAcentral.